UACGUAGGUGGCAAGCGUUGUCCGGAAUUAUUGGGCGUAAAGGGCGUGUAGGUGGAUUUUUAAGUCGUGUGUCUAAGUGCGGAGCUCAACUCCGUAUAGGCGCAGGAAACUGGGAAUCUUGAGUGCAGGAGAGGAAAGUGGAAUUCCCAGUGUAGCGGUGAAAUGCGUAGAUAUUGGGAGGAACACCAGUGGCGAAGGCGACUUUCUGGACUGUGUCUGACACUGAGGCGCGAAAGCUAGGGGAGCGAACGGG
Molecule: ribosomal RNA, 253 nt
Filed under: uncultured bacterium
Lineage: Bacteria
Description: partial 16S ribosomal RNA
Rfam family: Bacterial small subunit ribosomal RNA
Source: RNAcentral